RNAcentral lists this ribosomal RNA (384 nucleotides) under uncultured eukaryote. Its description in RNAcentral is "partial 18S ribosomal RNA". It matches the Rfam family "Eukaryotic small subunit ribosomal RNA", at positions 592 to 976 of the family's 1831-position model. The record is from RNAcentral.
CAAUAGCGUAUAUUAAAGUUGUUGCGGUUAAAAAGCUCGUAGUUGGAUUUCGGCGGACAGGGGGCGGUUCGAUAUUUGUCGCUACUGCCCCAUUUGUCCGUGUUUUUGGCGGAGGUUUCAGGGUGCUCUUCACCGAGUGUCCUGGGAUGGCGUCAGGUUUACUUUGAAAAAAUUAGAGUGCUCAAAGCAGGCUUUACACGCUUGAAUAUUCGUGCAUGGAAUAAUGGAAUAGGACGUCGUUUCUAUUUUGUUGGUUUUCGGAAAUCGACGUAAUGAUUAACAGGGACAGUCGGGGGCAUUAGUAUUCAGACGACAGAGGUGAAAUUCUUGGACCGUCUGAAGACUAACUACUGCGAAAGCAUUUGCCAAGAAUGUUUUCAUUAA